GACGAACGCUGGCGGCGUGCCUAAUACAUGCAAGUCGAGCGCAGGAAACUGACGGAACUCUUCGGAGGGAAGGCAGUGGAAUGAGCGGCGGACGGGUGAGUAACACGUAAGGAACCUGCCUCAAGGAUUGGGAUAACUCCGAGAAAUCGGAGCUAAUACCGGAUAGUUCAACGGACCGCAUGGUCCGCCGAUGAAAGGCGCUUCGGCGUCCCCUUCAGCUGGCCUUGCGGUGCAUUAGCUAGUUGGGGGGGUAACGGGCCACCAAGGCGACGAUGCAUAGCCGACCUGAGAGGGUGAUCGGCCACACUGGGACUGAGACACGGCCCAGACUCCUACGGGAGGCAGCAGUAGGGAAUCUUCCACAAUGGACGAAAGUCUGAUUGAGCAACGCCGCGUGGGUGAUGAAGGUUUUCGGAUCGUAAAACUCUGUUGUAAGGGAAGAACACGUACGAGAGGGAAUGCUCGUACCUUGACGGUACCUUACGAGAAAGCCACGGCUAACUACGUGCCAGCAGCCGCCGCAG
RNAcentral lists this ribosomal RNA (524 nucleotides) under uncultured bacterium. RNAcentral's name for it is "partial 16S ribosomal RNA". It matches the Rfam family "Bacterial small subunit ribosomal RNA", at positions 28 to 523 of the family's 1533-position model. The record is from RNAcentral.